GAUGAACGCUGGCGGCGUGCCUAAUACAUGCAAGUCGAGCGAACAGACGAGGAGCUUGCUCCUCUGACGUUAGCGGCGGACGGGUGAGUAACACGUGGAUAACCUACCUAUAAGACUGGGAUAACUUCGGGAAACCGGAGCUAAUACCGGAUAACAUGUUGAACCGCAUGGUUCAACAGUGAAAGACGGUUUUGCUGUCACUUAUAGAUGGAUCCGCGUCGCAUUAGCUAGUUGGUAAGGUAACGGCUUACCAAGGCAACGAUGCGUAGCCGACCUGAGAGGGUGAUCGGCCACACUGGAACUGAGACACUGUCCAGACUCCUACGGGAGGCAGCAGUAGGGAAUCUUCCGCAAUGGGCGAAAGCCUGACGGAGCAACGCCGCGUGAGUGAAGAAGGUCUUCGGAUCGUAAAACUCUGUUAUUAGGGAAGAACAAAUGUGUAAGUAACUAUGCACGUCUUGACGGUACCUAAUCAGAAAGCCACGGCUAACUACGUG
RNAcentral lists this ribosomal RNA (497 nucleotides) under uncultured bacterium. RNAcentral describes it as "partial 16S ribosomal RNA". It matches the Rfam family "Bacterial small subunit ribosomal RNA", at positions 28 to 507 of the family's 1533-position model. The record is from RNAcentral.